This 3677-nucleotide unclassified non-coding RNA is filed under the name Hevea brasiliensis (rubber tree). Lineage: Eukaryota; Viridiplantae; Streptophyta; Magnoliopsida; Malpighiales; Euphorbiaceae. The record is from RNAcentral.
GAACCUCUUCAAUUUCUUGUCUUUGAGACUGUGAUGACAGCAAAUUGAUGACAGCAUUUCAAGCCCAUGAACGGUAGCUUGGCUGAUCCUUUCAACAAUAAUGAGUCUACAUAUAUGCAUAAAUCCUCAAAUAAAAGCAUAGGUGAUUAUAACCAACAAGACUUUCAACGUACAGAGUUGUUCAAGACAUCACAAAACCAGCCACAGUUGCACAUAUUAGCCAUGGAGUUUGGAAUUCUCUAAAUUUUGAACUGUUACUAUUAUCAUUACAAUAGCAAAGGAACAGUAAAAAAGAAAGCGAGAAGGAUAGAAUUUUACAAAAACACAGCCUUUGCGAAAGCAUAAGGAGGAAGAAAAAAAGACUCGAUCUCAAGCCAGUCUGUUUCUUAUGGGUUCUGUAUCCAUUUUGAAAGGGAAAAUGCAAAUUCUAGAAAUUUGGAUAUCUAGUGAAGGUUCAUUGCAAUGGAGUUCACUUUCCAGUAUUCACCGUUCUUUCUUUUUUCCUCUCCAUAAACCCAUUCGUCUUCCUCUCUUGUUUGUUCAGUUCCUCCGCCAUCCAAGCUCAAUAUCAUCACCCUUCUCCAGUUUCGCCACAUUCUUACCAUUAUGUAAAGCAUCGUCAAGCAAAUUACUGUGGAAGUACAGACAAUGGCCACUACAAUACACACAACUGCAGCGUUGGAAAGGCUUUUUUUCUCUCGACCCCGUGAUCCCAAGCACGAUAGUAAUGGUGGGCCGCAUAGCUUGUUGUUACCUACGAAGGAACUAAGUGGAAACCCGGAAAAGGUGGAAGGAAGUUGGCCCUGGAGAUCAUUAUUUGACAGGUUUAGCAUGUGGAGGCUGGUCAACUUUGCAAGUGAAAAAGGUACUUCUCCUUGGAGGUAGUUGAACGAGAGGUUCAAAGUCUCUAACUUCACAAGAUUUCCUAGAGAAGAUGGAAUCUCACCGGAGAGAGAGUUCUUACUGAGAUCCAACAUUACUUGCAACUCAGUCAGCCUUCCUAACUCAGGUGGUAUAGAACCCGUCAAGAAGUUCUCAGACAGCCUCAGUUCAUAGAGCUUUUUGCACUCCUGAAUUUUCGAAGGAAUGAAGCCAGAAAGGUUAUUUCUUUGCAGAUUUAGGACAUUGAGAGAAGUUAGAUUUCCUAUCUCUUGUGGGAUCUUGCUGGAGAGGUUGUUGCUAUGAAGAGAAAGCUUGAGUAAUCUUAAGCAAUUCCCAAGCUGAGCAGGUAUUUCUCCAUGAAAGUUAUUGGAUGAGAAAUCUAGCUCCCCAAGUUCUUCUAACCUCCCUAACCAGGAAGGCAUGAUGCCCGUAAGAUUGUUAUUACUAAGUAGCAAGUGUUCGAGUUUUCUACAGUUUGAAAGUUGGGGUGACACGUCUCCAGUGAGAUUGUUGAAUGAUAAAUCAAGGAAUCUAAGCUCAAUGAGCUCAACAAACUCAUGAGGAAUAUUGCCAAUAAGAUGAUUGUGCGCAAGGCGGAGACGACUAAGAUUUCUUGACAUGGCUAGUCUAGAAGGAACAGGACCAGAGAAACUGUUGUUGGUCAAGUCUAAGGCAGUCAGAGAAUUUGAACCCAAGAGAGGAUAAAUGCUUCCGCGAAACCUGUUGUGAGAAAAAUUAAUAAUUUGCAGGUUUUUUAGAAGGAAGAGAGAUGAAGGAAGAGGACCUUCAAAGGAGUUGUUGUAAAGAGUAACUUUAUAAAGUUCUGAAAGGAAUCUGAAAGUUGGUGGCAAUGUUCCAGAGAGCUUGUUAUCUGCUAAGGCCAAUAUCUGAAGCUUUCUGCAGUAGCCCAAGCUUGGUGGGAUUGGACCUGAUAAAUCAUUCUGCCUCAGUUGAAGGACGAUCAGAUUCUUAAGCUUCCCAAUGGUUGGGGGAAUGGAUCCUGUGAAGUGGUUUCCAAAGAGAUCAAUUUCUGUUAUGCUGGUGCAGUUUGUCAACUCUAUUGGUAUUCCUCCUGACAGCUGGUUAUCGUAAAGAUAGAUAAUACUCAACCUCUUUAACUUGCCAAUUUCUGGUGGAAGUUUUCCCGUGAUCACAUUGUCAAACAGGUAAAAAUUCACCAAGUUACUCAUGUUCCCGAUCGCAGAAGGCAGCUUUCCACUAAAACUGUUAGUAUUGAGUUUAAGAUCUGUGAGGUUUUUUAGUUUGUCGAUGCCGUAUGGCAGCUCUCCUUCAAAGUUAUUAUUAGAGACGUCCAGUUGUUGCAAAGAGGGGCAGUUCAAUAGCUCUAAGGGGAACUUGCCUGUCAGAUUGUUUUGAUGCAGGAAAAGUUGCUGCAGAUUUGAAUUCUGGAGACAGAAAUUGCUUGGAAUGCUGCCUGUCAGGUCAUUGUUAGACAAGACCAAAGUUUCAAGAUUCUUUAAUUGGGAACUGAAUAGGCUUACGGGUCCUGAGAGAGUAUUCAUUGAUAAGUCUAGCUUUUCAAGUUGAACCAAGUGGUUGAGCUCCAAAGGAAUUUGGCCACUCAAUCUAUUUCCUAGCAGAUUCAAGUACUUCAAGUUGGAGAGAUGACUUAACUGGACAGGGAUUGAGCCAGAAAGGCUGUUAUUUGCCAAAUUCAAUACUUGCAGUAAUUUGAGACUUCCCAUUGAAGCAGGGAUUUCCCCUUCAAGCCUGUUGUCUGAUGCUGCAAAAUUUUGGAGCUCUUUACAGCCACGAAGCUCUUCUGGAAUCAGGCCACUGAGAUUGUUCUUCUGCAAGUCAAGAGAUACCAGAUGCUUCAAAUUACCAAUCUCAACCGGAAUGCUUCCAUUAAAUUGGCAAGAAGCAAGACCCAAAACUGUUAACUCAGUCAAGUUGCCAAUACUUGGUGUAAUUUCACCCGAGAACUGGUUAUCUCCUAUUCUAAGAACUUGUAAUUUCUUCAAAGAGUAUAUGUCUUCAGGAAUCUUACCAGAGAUAAAAUUUGAAUAAAGAAGCAGUAUUCUCAAAUCCUGAAGCAUUCCAAGCUCGGAAGGAACCGAGCCAGCGAGGAAAUUUGAAGAUAAAUCAAGUGUUUCAAGCGAAGCAAGAUGCCAGAGCUCGGGCGAAAUGGAACCUGAUAGUCCUGAGCUGGAUAAAUUCAAGCCCGAAACGUGAGUUUGAUCAUGUGAACAUGUAAUUCCAUUCCAGCUACACAUAUGUGCUCCUGGAGACCAGCUAUCAAGAACUCGUAGAGGAUCAACCAGUUCUGAUUUUAUCCUCAGAAGCCAAUAGGAGUCUGUUGAAUUAUCUCCACCAAGACCAUGAACAGCAGCAAGAACAGCAAAAGCUAUGGCUGAAAACAGCAUUAACUGAGAAACACGACUGCUACCCAUUUCAAGUUUCAUCACAAUGAUGGGAGUAUCAGAUACUUGUUUUGAAAUAUUCGUUAUUGCUUCCUGGGAAGCUCAGUUCCAUAUCGAAAGAGAAAGGUAAGAAGAAACAAGCAAGAGAAGCUCAAUUUGAACACAUUCAGAAAGACGAGAAAGAGGAGAUGAAAUGAGAAAUUAAAGGAGGGAAUUUGAAUGAGAGAGAAUAAAAAGGUUCAAACUGCUGGGAUGAUGAAAGCUUUGAAGUUUAUAUAGUGGGUUGAAGAAACGUACCUAAUCAUCAUUUGCAUAGAAAGAGAACAAUAAUGCAUUAACACUUAACAGCGUAAUUAAGCCUUUGACUCACGGCAGUCUCUUUUCACAUAUUUUCUAAGUUUUGCUUACAGG